GGUGACGCGUGCGCCGGCCGGCCGCCGAGGGGCUACCGUUCUGCCUCCGACCGGUCGUGUGUGGGUUUACUCGGAGAAAUACUAGGCUUUAGAAUUUCACCAUAUGAAUUUUGGGAGAGAGGAGCACAGUUCAGCCCAUAACUAACACACGUGAUGAAGAAGACAUGCCAACAGAGGGUUAAUUCCAGAUAAAAUGAAAUGUUCCAAACAGUACGUUUGGUUAUUUGAUUCAUCUGUGGGGGAAGGAAAGAUAAUUUUCCAAAGGACAUUCCUCCUAAAUUCUGUCUUAAAGUUGUUUACGGAAUGAAGUUGAUAAUAGUGAGACCUUGUUGGUACAAGACUAUGUAACAUAACCUGCGCUUCUCAACAAAGAAUUGCUUUUCUGACUUCUGCACUCAGUUCUUUCCUCCAGCUCACUUUAUUGUAAGAACCUUGGUGUCUGUAAUCGGCUCGGAACCCUUGCUGCUCUUUCACUGAAUAUCGCUGUCUGGAGGUUACUUGGUACACUGGUCGACAAAACCUUGAAAUGUUGAUGUUUAAGGGCUGUUGAUUGCUGGCAGCAAAGAAGUCCAACUGUGCUGGUACCCGAGAUAGCGUCUCCACAUUUUCUUCCAGGAUCAUCACCUUUGUUCUAAAUAGCUCCCACAUAGUGUGAACAGAAGUCAUAUGUUUUAGAUUUUCUGCCUUGGCACCCAGGAAACCAGUAUGAUUGAGUAAACAUAUUAAACUUCCUCUGCAUUUCCAGCCUGAACAGAUGUUGAGUACAAGCUGAUCCACCUACGUUCAACCUGAGAGAGUCCACAUCCACAGACUGUUUCAUUUCCCUUUUUCAAUUUACAUAGAAGCAUAGAUUCUUGCUGGCAUAUACAAAUGCGCCAUUUAAGGCAAUCAAAAAUGGUUCCACAUCUCAUCUGAUUUCCACAAUUGUUGCUGUAACGAUGGACUACUGAGGAGAGAGACAAUUUCUCUGGCACAUCUUCCCACAUUUUAGCAACAUGUUCAUGGAGAGCCAAUAUUCAGUAAUUACAGCCCAAUUCCUCACAAUUUCACAAUUCGCUAACAAUAUGCAUUUUCACAAUGUAAAGCUGAUUUUCCUUUAACCAAAUCAAACAUGAAAAGAUAGCUGCAUGCAAUGGGCAAUCUAGAUCAUUAGAAGAUUGAUGUAAAAUUAGAGGACACUGAGACUGGAAUAGAUUGCAAACUUCAGGGAGCUCAGAAAACUUGUAAACUCUACAUUUUGAGGAAAUAUGUUGUCGAUGCUUUUGCAACUCUAUGCAGUAACUUAACAAAUAAAGCCUUAAAGUAAC
Molecule: long non-coding RNA, 1307 nt
Filed under: Homo sapiens (human)
Lineage: Eukaryota; Metazoa; Chordata; Mammalia; Primates; Hominidae
Description: MIR663A host gene
Source: RNAcentral